AUUGAACGCUGGCGGCAUGCUUUACACAUGCAAGUCGAACGGCAACGCGGGCUUCGGCCUGUCGGCGAGUGGCGAACGGGUGAGUAAUGCAUCGGAACGUGCCCAGUCGUGGGGGAUAGCCCGGCGAAAGCCGGAUUAAUACCCCAUACGACCUGAGGGUGAGAGCGGGGGACCGAAAGGCCUCGCGCUAUUGGAGCGGCCGAUGUCGGAUUAGCUAGUUGGUGGGGUAAUGGCUUACCAAGGCGACGAUCCGUAGCUGGUCUGAGAGGACGACCAGCCACACUGGGACUGAGACACGGCCCAGACUCCUACGGGAGGCAGCAGUGGCGAAUUGUGGACGAUGGGGGCAACCCUGAUCCAGCCAUGCCGCGCGCGGGAAGAAGGGCCUCGGGUUGUAAGACGCUUUUGUUCGGGAAGAAAUCCUCUGGGCUAAUACCCCGGGGGGAUGACGGUACCGGAAGAAUAAGCACCGGCUAACUACGUG
This 484-nucleotide ribosomal RNA is filed under the name uncultured bacterium. RNAcentral's name for it is "partial 16S ribosomal RNA". It matches the Rfam family "Bacterial small subunit ribosomal RNA", at positions 28 to 507 of the family's 1533-position model. The record is from RNAcentral.